CAGGCCUAACACAUGCAAGUCGAACGAGAACGGAUUAUAGCUUGCUAUAAUUGUCAGCUAAGUGGCGCACGGGUGAGUAAUAUAUAGGUAACGUGCCCCAAAGAAGAGGAUAACAGAUGGAAACGUCUGCUAAGACUCUAUAUGCCUUUAAGACUUAAGUCUGCAAGGGAAAUAUUUAUAGCUUUGGGAUCGGCCUGUACAGUAUCAGUUAGUUGGUGAGGUAAUGGCUCACCAAGACAAUGACGCUUAACUGGUUUGAGAGGAUGAUCAGUCACACUGGAACUGAGACACGGUCCAGACUCCUACGGGAGGCAGCAGUGGGGAAUAUUGCACAAUGGACGAAAGUCUGAUGCAGCAACGCCGCGUGGAGGAUGACACAUUUCGGUGCGUAAACUCCUUUUAUAUGGGAAGUAAUGACGGUACCAUAUGAAUAAGCACCGGCUAACUCCGUGCCAGCAGCCGCGGUAAUACGGAGGGUGCAAGCGUUACUCGGAAUCACUGGGCGUAAAGAGCGUGUAGGCGGAUAGGUAAGUCAGAAGUGAAAUCCAAUAGCUCAACUAUUGAACUGCUUUUGAAACUGCUUAUCUAGAAUGUGGGAGAGGUAGAUGGAAUUUCUGGUGUAGGGGUAAAAUCCGUAGAGAUCAGAAGGAAUACCGAUUGCGAAGGCGAUCUACUGGAACAUUAUUGACGCUGAGACGCGAAAGCGUGGGGGAGCAAACAGGAUUAGAUACCCUGGUAGUCCACGCCCUAAACGAUGCACACUAGUUGUUGUGAGGCUAGACCUUGCAGUAAUGCAGUUAACACAUUAAGUGUGCCGCCUGGGGAGUACGGUCGCAAGAUUAAAACUCAA
RNAcentral lists this ribosomal RNA (850 nucleotides) under uncultured bacterium. RNAcentral describes it as "bacterial SSU rRNA". It matches the Rfam family "Bacterial small subunit ribosomal RNA", at positions 43 to 904 of the family's 1533-position model. The record is from RNAcentral.